Molecule: long non-coding RNA, 521 nt
Organism: Pogonomyrmex barbatus (red harvester ant)
Lineage: Eukaryota; Metazoa; Arthropoda; Insecta; Hymenoptera; Formicidae
Source: RefSeq, a predicted model, not a curated record
CUGACUUUGGACUUUUUGUACGUUACGAGCUCAGAGGCCACAACGACGAGAAUCUUGACGUUGCAAGCAUAGCCGAGCUGUAUUUUUUUCUCGCCCGAUGGAUACUUCCGAAGAAGUGAAAGAAGAAGAAAGAGAUCACGGUUGCUGUUUACACGCACGGGAAAAUCGUGUGGUGAAGGUGGUUUCAGCAAAGACCCGUUGCAAUCGGACUCCCAUUAAAGCAACACCCAUUGUCGCGAAAAACGAGCAUUGUGGCGGCAUUAUUGUGCGUGGCGAAGACGCAUUGUAAUUCACUGCGCUAUUCUCAUGGCGAACACCGUUUCUCGGCGCCUCGUAGCACGACACCUGGUAGGUGUAAAGUUGCCGCCAUUUUCUAUUAUAAGGAUAAUUUGAUACAUAUCGCGGCCGGGAGUUUACGAGGGUCCUGCUGCCCAUCGGAAACAGGCUCGAGAGCGCUAAAUAUAUUCCGCGGUUCUAUCCUACUUCUGCGCUAGUAUAAGGUACCACGAAAAAAAAAAAAA